UACGUAGGGGGCAAGCGUUGUCCGGAAUUAUUGGGCGUAAAGAGCUCGUAGGUGGCUUGUCGCGUCUGCCGUGAAAGCCCAUGGCUUAACUGGGAAACUGCAUCGGAAACUGACCGGCUUGAAGGUGGGAGAGGGUAGUGGAAUUCCCGGUGUAGUGGUGAAAUGCGUAGAUAUCGGGAGGAACACCAGUGGCGAAGGCGACUACCUGGCCCAUUCUUGACGCUGAGGCGCGAAAGCUAGGGGAGCGAACGGG
RNAcentral lists this ribosomal RNA (253 nucleotides) under uncultured bacterium. Its description in RNAcentral is "partial 16S ribosomal RNA". It matches the Rfam family "Bacterial small subunit ribosomal RNA", at positions 524 to 776 of the family's 1533-position model. The record is from RNAcentral.